Molecule: ribosomal RNA, 433 nt
Filed under: uncultured bacterium
Lineage: Bacteria
Description: partial 16S ribosomal RNA
Rfam family: Bacterial small subunit ribosomal RNA
Source: RNAcentral
AACGAACGCUGGCGGCAUGCCUAACACAUGCAAGUCGAACGAGACCUUCGGGUCUAGUGGCGCACGGGUGCGUAACGCGUGGGAACCUGCCCUUAGGUUCGGAAUAACUCCCCGAAAGGGGUGCUAAUACCGGAUAAUGUCUUCGGACCAAAGAUUUAUCGCCUUUGGAUGGGCCCGCGUUGGAUUAGCUAGUUGGUAGGGUAAAAGCCUACCAAGGCGACGAUCCAUAGCUGGUCUGAGAGGAUGAUCAGCCACACUGGGACUGAGACACGGCCCAGACUCGUACGGGAGGCAGCAGUGGGGAAUAUUGGACGAUGGGCGAAAGCCUGAUCCAGCAAUGCCGCGUGAGUGAUGAAGGCCUUAGGGUUGUAAAGCUCUUUUACCCGGGAUGAUAAUGACAGUACCGGGAGAAUAGGCUCCGGCUAACUCCGUG